CCUUUCAGAGAAAGCCCACUCCCUUAGUUCUACAGGCUUCAGUGUACGCCUGUGUGGGUCCUCUGGCUCUUGUGCAUGCCCUCCUUGUUGACUGAGCUACUGCGUUUUAUCAGCUCCCUUGACCUCUUUGGGACUGGAACCUUAAACUGCUGACAAGAUGCUCCUUCCCAGGACUCCUGGUUUGUGUCAGAGAUUGGUUUCAGUGCUAUUCAAAGCUGAGAGUGGCAUCCAUUUCCUGCACGCGUCUAUUUGGAAAUCAGGACAAAUCCAUUUCAGGCAGACCCUUUGGACAAGGGAAAAAGGCAGCCUCUUUUUCACCAAAAUAUCGUUCUGGUUAACCUCAGCCUCUCUUCAGACCAUUGGAUUGUUGGUGGUAGAUUGGGGUAGCAGGAGCAACAUUAUUGCAAUGGCUGUCUUAUGUGGGCAGACAUCACUCUCAGACUUCCUAAGUUACAGACAAGAAAAUCAAGUUUUGAUGUCCAGUUUCCUAAUGAGUGCAUCCACAGACGUUCUCAAGUCCCCCAAGACAUGCUCCUGGAAGCCACAGAGUUGAGGCAGAUCCACUGGUGCAUACAAGCUCUUCGACCUUGAGGAGGGACUACAGUUGACAGUGGUGUGGUCAGAUUUAUGCUUGCAGGGAAAAAAACCCUAUAUUUCCUGAAAUGGCUUAACUUAGUCCAGCUCUAACUGGAUUCUAUUGCUGUUUGAUUUCCAGAAGAGCAUGUGCCCGAUUGCCCAAGGGAGUAGGCAAUCCUCAGAAUGAAUAUUGAAAUACCCAGUCAUUAUUUGCUCUGGGGGACUGCCAGAGCUGCCUGCUGCCUGGGCUUUAGUGGAACUGAAAAGGGAGCUCCUAUUUUGAAAACUCAAAGUCAUUCUCUGGGGUUCCUUUCAUUAAGAUUGAAAUAAAGACCCUGACUAAACAUAGUUGAGCCACAACAACAUGUAUGAUGAGAAAGCACGUUGUGCCUGUGAUCACAAAACUUACAGUGACUCCGAGGGUCAAUCACUUGGACCAGAUCCCUCACCUACAUUUCCCCACUUGUAUCUGCAGAUGAACUGGUGAAAAGUCAACACCAAGAGCAGGUUUGAGAAAAGAGAUGUACACUAAGGAACCUACCAACAAGGCAUAUGAGCAGCUCAGAGAGCAGCACACGCAUCCAGGGAGGUGGUCAUACGUCUUUGAACUGCAUGCUUGUUUGAAAGCCACCUCCCCUAGCAUCCUUUGCAAAGGCAGAAUUUGUGAGAGGCAGAGGCAGCAAAGCAUGGAGCAAUGGGAUGGGCCGAAGAUUCCCUGGGCAUUUUUCUGAAGGCCCGUAGUUCUAAAGGUCACCCUGCUAACUGGGAAGGGAUUUCAUGGGUUGGUGGUGAGUCUGCCUCAGGAAAUGAUACAGUUGAGACUAGCCAUGGCAUUUAGGAUUCCCCCUUCUCUGUAGCGAUAGGCUGUGAUUGCUCUGAAGAAAAAAAAAUGAAAAGAAAACAAAAUUUCCCUUGGAGGAAUUGUGAAUCUUCUCACCACUGGAGGACAAUGACUCCUCUCAAAGCAGGUCCCAAGACCCCAUUAGGUAAAAUAUCCUGUUUUAAUAAUCAAAAGUAACAUUUUAUUUAAUUAUAGAAAGUAUACCAUUUAUUUUUUAAAAAAUGGCUCCGCCUUGCUCAACUUGCUGCCCUUGAAGACUGCAAAACACAGGGGCGCAGAGCCUUGCUUGCAUGGGGAAAAUUUGAGAUGCUGGGCCUGACUACAGCAUUCCCACGAAUAAAAGACUGGACCUUGAUUUAGGGAGAAGCUAGAGUUGGAGUUUCCAUGGCAACCAAAUCAGAAGCACAUAUUAACGGGAGGCAAAAGCAAUUGGCAGUUUGCCUGGGCAUCACUUAGAAGCAUUAGCCUCCUAAGGUGAGUGCUGUAAAUAAGAGUGCAGAGCAACCACUCAGGACCGGAAUCAAGUUCAACAGCCUUCACUCAUGCUGCCUGAGAAGGCUGUUUCACUGUUGGGGGCAAAGGUGUGCCCAGGAAGGUUCACAUACAGAAGGUCUGUGUAAGGUCAGGGACUGCAUCCCAUGCUUGGGACUCAUUUAUGAAAUUUCAUGCAUCUUUCUCACUCAGUGUUUACAAGUACAGGGUCAUAUUUCCCCAGCAUGGUCUUUUAGUGUGAUCUAGUUGUAUGGUGCUCCCGGUGUGGACCAGUUCCUGCCAUGGAAGCAUCAAAGUAUGUCCAGACCCAUCUGAACACAGAUACUGCCUUUUCAUGGUAUGUGUAAAAUGUUAGAGGCCCUUCAGUGGUAGCUUUUGGAUCUGCAAUUAAGGAUUGGGAUUAUCAGUUAGAUAUGAUGGAUGGGCCCUACUUUUGGCUACUGAAGAGCUAAUUUCAGAGUCAAGUUUGCUAACUUGUUUCCUGCAUAGCUUUAGGCAACUUGUUUUAGGCUCAGCUACCCCAUAUAUCAGAUGGGGAUAAUCAGUUUUCACCCAGAUUUCACAGGAUUAAAUAAUCUAUUCCAAGUUAAGGGAGCCUGGCUAUCUCCAUCAGAAAACAACUACUCUUUCUACUACACCCUCUUCACCCAUUUAUUUUUGCCAUGUUGAGAACCCCACAAUCUAGCUGUUACUGUCAGUUUUAUUUAAUUCUAUCUCACUAAAUUGUGAGUUCUUUGAAGACAAGAAAGCUACUUUAACUUGCCCCCCCACCCUGAGCAUUUCUCCUUUAUAUAGAUUAGUAUACUUGGACAAUAGCAAGGAGAUCAAUAAAUGUUGGUUUAAAUGAAUGUAGUUUUAUUAGGUGUAUUUGAAUAGAAUUGCAUUUACUGCCUUCUAAUUUUGUCAGCUACUCCUUCCUGGUGGGUGUAUCUAUACUGGACAAUAGUCAGGGCUGGGCGGCUUGGGUGAGCAGAAUCUAGAGUGGAUUCCAGAGUUUGGGCUGGGGUAGAAGCACCAUGGGCUUGGAGAAGUAAGCCUACUGUCUACUCAGUGUAAGGCCAUGCAGCCCCAUCCAUUUAAGCAAUGUUUCUGAAGCCACCACUAUUGUAUUAGCUGAAACAAUCCUGUUAAUAAGUCUCUCAAUCUCUUUCCCUACUUAUGAGCCCUCCCAAAAAACUUCCUCAUCUCUAAGAAAGAAGGAUGCCCUCACUGGCGAAGAGAGAAAGAUUAACAAUGACUUUCGAUUGGUAUCUAUCUUUUGAUACUUGUGUUUACACUGUGAAUUUUAAAUACAGAUAUUUGCCCUUUGUUUUAUAGAUGAAAUAACAAGAUGCAGCAUUUAUAAACUUGGAAAAUCACCCUGAGUUAAAUGAUUUUAAGAAUAAAAAUGUAGCAUGGUUUUCUAUUAUUUUUAACUUAGGGAAUUUGUAAACAUGAUCCCUGGUCCUAUAGGCACCAACUUUGCCCAGCUGCCAGAAUGUCAUAGCAGAGACAAGGGUCUGUAGUGCCAUCCUCCCAUCCCCAGGGCUCUUUAACCAUCCAUCAGUUGGAUGCUUGUCUGCCGCCAGCCAUUUAUGUACUCAAACAUGGGGAUGAUCUAAACUAAGUUCUUCUUGGUAUUCUUGACAGUGCAAUCCUGUAAUAACCAUAUGCUAUGACCCUUGCUUUUGUGGUCAGCAUUGCUCCAGAAAUGGCAGUGUGCCCUCACUGAAGUAAGCACUGAUAUGUUUACAGUUCUUCUAAAGGGGCGAAAAAUGACUAGAAGUUGAUUCUUAUGGACGUUGUAGUGUAAACUGAGGAAUCCAGUAUUUCUAUAACAUGAGUCAGAAUAAAUGGAAAUACUUCAAUGGUUCUUCCUCUGGAGUCAGUAUCACUGCAGUGUUUCAAAGCCAUGUAUCUUUAGUUGAUCUACUCCAUGGACCUACCUGCAGGUGCUUUUUAUUACACUACCCUGUAGAUGAUAAGACUGUGACCCAGCAAGAGAUCCUUUAAGUCAGGUAACUAUGGAACACUUUCUGUCAGCUUCA
Long non-coding RNA from Mesocricetus auratus (golden hamster), 3936 nucleotides. RefSeq lists it as uncharacterized. NCBI's taxonomy places the organism in Eukaryota, Metazoa, Chordata, Mammalia, Rodentia, Cricetidae. The transcript has 6 exons. The record is from RefSeq and is a predicted model, not a curated record.